This 253-nucleotide ribosomal RNA is filed under the name uncultured bacterium. RNAcentral's name for it is "partial 16S ribosomal RNA". It matches the Rfam family "Bacterial small subunit ribosomal RNA", at positions 524 to 776 of the family's 1533-position model. The record is from RNAcentral.
UACGGAGGGGGCGAGUGUUGUUCGGAAUUACUGGGCGUAAAGGGCGCGCAGGCGGCUUGGCAAGUCGAGUGUGAAAUACCUCAGCUUAACUGAGGAACGGCGCUCGAAACUACCUCGCUAGAGGGCGGGAGAGGGAAGUGGAACUCUCGGUGUAGGGGUGAAAUCUGUAGAUAUCGAGAGGAACACCGGUGGCGAAGGCGGCUUCCUGGCCCGUACCUGACGCUGAGGCGCGAAGGCGUGGGGAGCGAACGGG